This 497-nucleotide ribosomal RNA is filed under the name uncultured bacterium. RNAcentral's name for it is "partial 16S ribosomal RNA". It matches the Rfam family "Bacterial small subunit ribosomal RNA", at positions 28 to 507 of the family's 1533-position model. The record is from RNAcentral.
GAUGAACGCUGGCGGCGUGCCUAAUACAUGCAAGUCGAGCGAACAGAUGAGGAGCUCGCUCCUCUGACGUUAGCGGCGGACGGGUGAGUAACACGUGGAUAACCUACCUAUAAGACUGGGAUAACUUCGGGAAACCGGAGCUAAUACCGGAUAAUAUAUUGAACCGCAUGGUUCAAUAGUGAAAGACGGUUUUGCUGUCACUUAUAGAUGGAUCCGCGCCGCAUUAGCUAGUUGGUAAGGUAACGGCUUACCAAGGCAACGAUGCGUAGCCGACCUGAGAGGGUGAUCGGCCACCCUGGCACUGAGACACGGUCCAGACUCCUACGGGAGGCAGCAGUAGGGAAUCUUCCGCAAUGGGCGAAAGCCUGACGGAGCAACGCCGCGUGAGUGAUGAAGGUCUUCGGAUCGUAAAACUCUGUUAUUAGGGAAGAACAAAUGUGUAAGUAACUAUGCACGUCUUGACGGUACCUAAUCAGAAAGCCACGGCUAACUACGUG